Sus scrofa (pig) is the source of this 816-nucleotide non-coding RNA. The record is from the annotation of a RefSeq genome assembly. NCBI's taxonomy places the organism in Eukaryota, Metazoa, Chordata, Mammalia, Artiodactyla, Suidae.
AUAGGUUCCUCCCUCAGCAGAUAAAACCAGCCCUGCCAUCACCCUGUAGCUCUGGCAAGGAGCCCAGCCCCAGGAUCCCGUUCUGUGAUCCGGAAAGAACACAGACCACCCGCCAUGGAGUUUCGGAUGAACUGGGUGGUCUUGUUUGCUCUCUUACAAGGUGUCCAGGGUGAGGAGAAGCUGGUGGAGUCUGGAGGAGGCCUGGUGCAGCCUGGGGGGUCUCUCAGACUCUCCUGUGUCGGCUCUGGAUUCACCUUCAGUAGUUAUGAAAUCAGCUGGGUCCGCCAGGCUCCAGGGAAGGGGCUGGAGUGGCUGGCAGCUAUUGGUUGUGGUAGUUAUAGUGGUAGCACCUACUACGCAGACUCUGUGAAGGGCCGAUUCACCAUCUCCAGCGACAACUCUCAGAACACGGCCUAUCUGCAAAUGAACAGCCUGAGAACCGAAGACACGGCCCGCUAUUACUGUGCAACAGGCACAGUGAGGGGAAGGCAGUCUGAGCCCAGACAAAAACCUCCCUGCAGGGACACAAGGAAGAAUCAGACCUCCCCUGGGAAGGUGCACCUGCUCCAUCUGGAGGGUCAGCAGAUUCGGGAAUUCGGGCCUAGAGACCUCUGCCUGAACACAGACCCCCCCACCAUGGAGUCUGGGCUCAGCUGGGCAGUUUGGCGGAUGGACCACACGGAAAUUUCUGGAGAUCAGGAGAUGCUGAAAUGGACCCAGCGUGAGGUGCAGCUGGUGGAGUCUGGGGGAGGCCUGGGGGGCCUCUGGGACUCUCCUGUGCAGCUUGUGGAUGCAGCUUGGGUAGCUCCUACCUGA